RNAcentral lists this small nucleolar RNA (62 nucleotides) under Varanus komodoensis (Komodo dragon). Its description in RNAcentral is "Small nucleolar RNA Z39 (ENSVKKG00000011641.1)". It matches the Rfam family "Small nucleolar RNA Z39". From Rfam's summary of the family: Z39 is a member of the C/D class of snoRNA which contain the C (UGAUGA) and D (CUGA) box motifs. Most of the members of the box C/D family function in directing site-specific 2'-O-methylation of substrate RNAs. The record is from Rfam by way of RNAcentral. Lineage: Eukaryota; Metazoa; Chordata; Lepidosauria; Squamata; Varanidae.
GUACAAAUGAUGAGAACAUAACAGUAUGAAUGAUGAUGAUACUGUAAACGCUUUCUGAUGUA